Molecule: ribosomal RNA, 813 nt
Filed under: uncultured Bacillota bacterium
Lineage: Bacteria; Bacillati; Bacillota
Description: bacterial SSU rRNA
Rfam family: Bacterial small subunit ribosomal RNA
Source: RNAcentral
CAAGUCGAACGCGAAAGUUCCCUUCGGGGAACAAGUAGAGUGGCGCACGGGUGAGUAACACGUAGGUAAUCUACCUUUGGAUGGGGAAUAACACCGAGAAAUCGGUGCUAAUACCGCAUAAUGCAGCGGCACCUAAUGGUGACAGUUGUUAAAGCGGGGGAUCGCAAGACCUCGCGUCUAAAGAGGAGCCUGCGGCGGAUUAGCUAGUUGGUAAGGUAACGGCUUACCAAGGCGAUGAUCCGUAGCCGGCCUGAGAGGGCGGUCGGCCACACUGACACUGAUAUACGGGUCAGACUCCUACGGGAGGCAGCAGUCGGGAAUUUUGGGCAAUGGGCGAAAGCCUGACCCAGCAACGCCGCGUGAAGGAUGAAAUCCCUCGGGAUGUAAACUUCGCAAGAACGGGAAGAAUAAGUUGGUGUGAACAUCACCAGCGAUGACGGUACCGUUUGUAAGCUCCGGCUAACUCCGUGCCAGCAGCCGCGGUAAUACGGGGGGAGCAAGCGUUGUUCGGAUUUACUGGGCGUAAAGGGCGCGUAGGCGGCCACCGCAAGUCGAUUGUGAAAUCUCCGGGCUUAACCCGGAAAGGUCAACCGAUACUGCGGGGCUAGAGUGCAGAAAGGGCAACUGGAAUUCUCGGUGUAGCGGUGAAAUGCGUAGAUAUCGAGAGGAACACCUGCGGCGAAGGCGGGUUGCUGGGCUGACACUGACGCUGAGGCGCGAAAGCUAGGGGAGCGAACGGGAUUAGAUACCCCGGUAGUCCUAGCCUUAAACGAUGGAUGCUUGGUGUCUGGGGUUUUAUAGUCCCCGGGUGCC